GAUGAAGAACGUAGCGAAAUGCGAUAAGUAAUGUGAAUUGCAGAAUUCAGUGAAUCAUCGAAUCUUUGAACGCACAUUGCGCCCCUUGGUAUUCCGAGGGGCAUGCCUGUUCGAGCGUCAUUACACCACUCAAGCACUGCUUGGUAUUGGGCAUCGUCCGUCGAAAGGCGGGCGUGCCUCGAAGACCUCGGCGGGGUUUCUCCAACUUCGGGCGUAGUAGAGUUAAAUCGAACGUCUUAUAAGCUUGGUGGGACUCCAUUGCCGUUAAACCUUUUAUUUUCUAGGUUGACCUCGGAUCAGGUAGGGAUACCCGCUGAACUUAAGCAUACAAUAAGCGGAGGA
RNAcentral lists this unclassified non-coding RNA (342 nucleotides) under soil metagenome. RNAcentral describes it as "partial contains 5.8S ribosomal RNA, internal transcribed spacer 2, and large subunit ribosomal RNA". The stretch from base 1 to 120 matches the Rfam family "5.8S ribosomal RNA", at positions 35 to 154 of the family's 154-position model. The record is from RNAcentral.